Molecule: ribosomal RNA, 269 nt
Filed under: uncultured bacterium
Lineage: Bacteria
Description: partial 16S ribosomal RNA
Rfam family: Bacterial small subunit ribosomal RNA
Source: RNAcentral
UACGUAGGAGGCAAGCGUUGUCCGGAAUUACUGGGCGUAAAGCGCGUGUAGGUGGUGGGACAAGUCUGCUGUGAAAGCGCCUGGCUUAACCGGGCGAGGUCGGCGGAAACUGUCCGACUCGAGGACGGUAGAGGGGGGUGGAAUUCCCGGUGUAGUGGUGAAAUGCGUAGAGAUCGGGAGGAACACCUGUGGCGAAGGCGGCCUGCUGGGCAGUAGCCGAAAGGCUUGAAAGCUGACGCUGAGGCGCGACAGCGUGGGGAGCAAACAGG